GCUUGUCUCAAAGAUUAAGCCAUGCAUAUCUAAGAAUAACUAACAUUAUCUUGAAUCUGUGAAUGGCUCAUUAUAUCAGUUAUAGUUUACAUGAUAGUCAAUACUACUUGGAUAACCGUGGUAAUUCUAGAGCUAAUACAUGCUGUUAAGCCUGACUUCUUGAAGGGCUGUAUUUAUUAGAUAACAGACCAAUAUUCCUCGUGUCUAUUGUGGUGACUCAUAGUAACUGAUCGGAUCGCACGGGCUUGCCCGCGACAAACCAUUCAAGUUUCUGCCCCAUCAGCUUUCGAUGGUAGUGUAUUGGACUACCAUGGCUUUUACGGGUAACGGAGGAUUAGGGUUCGAUUCCGGAGAGGGAGCCUGAGAAACGGCUACCACAUCUAAGGAAGGCAGCAGG
This 397-nucleotide ribosomal RNA is filed under the name Strombidinopsis sinicum. RNAcentral's name for it is "partial small subunit ribosomal RNA". It matches the Rfam family "Eukaryotic small subunit ribosomal RNA", at positions 30 to 432 of the family's 1831-position model. The record is from RNAcentral. Lineage: Eukaryota; Ciliophora; Spirotrichea; Choreotrichida; Strombidinopsidae.